AGUGAACGCUGGCGGUAGGCCUAACACAUGCCAGUCGAACGGCAGCACAGUAAGAGCUUGCUCUUACGGGUGGCGAGUGGCGGACGGGUGCGGAAUACAUCGGAAUCUACUUUUUCGUGGGGGAUAACGUAGGGAAACUUACGCUAAUACCGCAUACGACCUACGGGUGAAAGCAGGGGAUCUUCGGACCUUGCGCGAUUGAAUGAGCCGAUGUCGGAUUAGCUAGUUGGCGGGGUAAAGGCCCACCAAGGCGACGAUCCGUAGCUGGUCUGAGAGGAUGAUCAGCCACACUGGAACUGAGACACGGUCCAGACUCCUACGGGAGGCAGCAGUGGGGAAUAUUGGACAAUGGGCGCAAGCCUGAUCCAGCCAUACCGCGUGGGUGAAGAAGGCCUUCGGGUUGUAAAGCCCUUUUGUUGGGAAAGAAAAGCAGCAGGUUAAUACCCCGCUGUUCUGACGGUACCCAAAGAGUAAGCACCGGCUAACUUCGUG
Molecule: ribosomal RNA, 492 nt
Filed under: uncultured bacterium
Lineage: Bacteria
Description: partial 16S ribosomal RNA
Rfam family: Bacterial small subunit ribosomal RNA
Source: RNAcentral